This is a long non-coding RNA of Aplysia californica (California sea hare), 475 nucleotides long. RefSeq lists it as uncharacterized. Lineage: Eukaryota; Metazoa; Mollusca; Gastropoda; Aplysiida; Aplysiidae. The record is from RefSeq and is a predicted model, not a curated record. The transcript is spliced from 2 exons.
AACGGAGGAGGAUGAGCUGACUCAGCACAUUACAGGACUCACCUUGUGAGCUCAGUGUCAUGUACCGGUCAUGCACAGGUGUGGUUGAACUGUUGAGUUAGUCCAGUGUCAUGUACAGGUGUGGUUGAACUGUUGAGUUAGUCCAGCGUCGUGUACAGGUGUGGUUGAACUGUUGAGUUAGUCCAGUGUCGUGUACAGGUGUGGUUGAACUGUUGAGUUAGUCCAGUGUCGUGUACAGGUGUGGUUGAACUGUUGAGUUAAUCCAGUGUCGUGUACAGGUGUGAUUGAACUGUUGAGUUAGUCCAGUGUCGUGUACAGGUGUGGUUGAACUGUUGAGUUAGUCCAGUGUCGUGUACAGGUGUGGUUGAACUGUUGAGUUAGUCCAGUGUCGUGUACAGGUGUGGAUGAACUAGUCACAGAAUGUUGGAAGUAAAGAGAGGAAGGAGACUGAAAAUAAAUCUGCUGUAAAGAAGUA